UACGUAGGGGGCUAGCGUUGUCCGGAUUUAUUGGGCGUAAAGAGCUCGUAGGCGGCUUGGCAAGUCGAGUGUGAAACCUCCAGGCUCAACCUGGAGACGCCACUCGAUACUGCUAUGGCUAGAGUCCGGUAGGGGACCACGGAAUUCCUGGUGUAGCGGUGAAAUGCGCAGAUAUCAGGAGGAACACCGGUGGCGAAGGCGGUGGUCUGGGCCGGCACUGACGCUGAGGAGCGAAAGCGUGGGUAGCAAACAGG
This 254-nucleotide ribosomal RNA is filed under the name uncultured bacterium. Its description in RNAcentral is "partial 16S ribosomal RNA". It matches the Rfam family "Bacterial small subunit ribosomal RNA", at positions 524 to 776 of the family's 1533-position model. The record is from RNAcentral.